Long non-coding RNA from Bos taurus (domestic cattle), 957 nucleotides. Lineage: Eukaryota; Metazoa; Chordata; Mammalia; Artiodactyla; Bovidae. The record is from Ensembl.
ACCUGGCUCCUGGGGUUUUCCCCAAAGCAGAGCCGCCACCGUGAUGACUUGCCGGGAAGCCUUCAAGGAGUCACUACUCCCAGACAGGUGGUUUGGGACAAUGUUCCCAGCAGCUGCUGAGACCACUUUUGGGGGGAGAGUCUCCCUGUCUCUCCCCUGCGCAGCACUGGCGGCAGUGUAUGCUUCUCCUUGGUGGAAUGGAAUCAUGCCUCUGGACAAGCUGACAAGCCCCGUGACCCAUCUGCAGGCCAGCUUCCAGUCUGUUCCCGGUGUCGUUCGUCUUCGAACAAGCUCACGCUCUAUUUGUGGCAGGUGGCAGAAGCACAAGAAGCCCAGCUACAGGGAAGCACGGUUAAAGCCUCUGCUCACGUCAUCUUUGCUCACAUCCUAUUGGCCAGAGCAAGUCACAUGGCCAACAUCAACUGGACCAGGAUGUAAAUUUCUCCCACGGAAGUUGAGAGAAGCCAGGACAAGGGCCAGGAAGGAAGGACUUGACCUCACAAGACCCCAGAAUGGUGGUCCAGUGUGGAGGAUGUCUGAGAUCACUGCCCACCAGCCAGCAGAGUGGAGCAUUUGGUGACGGCUGAUGAGAAAUCAGAGCAAUCUGAGAGCCAUCUGUCUUACCGUCCCCACCAUCACCUCCUACCUCCCACCAAAGUCCUUUCGGGAAGUUGGAGCCGAGAAUUUAUACAGCAUGCUUCCUUCUAUCUGAUCAGGAGAGAGCCCAAGAUCUCACAACUGAAAUUUACUUCCAGAUCAUGAUGGAGUUAUUGGCUUUCUGUUGACAUAAAUUGCAUGGGUACCACAAUAGACCAAGCAUCAUUUUCUCUGUGGUGCCUGGUUUUUGUAAUAGCAGCUGGAUUUCUCAGUGUAAUUUUUCUUAAGGUCAAAUUUUCUCCUCCAAGUAGAGUCAGUGAUAUGAAACUUGUCAGAACAAAUCUAGAUAUAUCUUUAUGU